Molecule: long non-coding RNA, 1551 nt
Filed under: Theobroma cacao (cacao)
Lineage: Eukaryota; Viridiplantae; Streptophyta; Magnoliopsida; Malvales; Malvaceae
Description: long non-coding RNA (TCAC_LNC006004)
Source: RNAcentral
CCAAACCAAGAGCAAAGGAAGAACUAAGGGAGAAAAGAAAACAAGAGCCCUAGGUGGGAAAAUUCAAGGGAAAAUUGGUGGAUUUCAAGUAAUCAAGCAAUCAAAGGUAAAAUUUCUUGAUUUUGACUUGUGAUCUACCUUUCCCAUGCAUUUCUCCUUAUUUUCCAUGGUUAAAUUUCAUGUUUUCAUGGUGAAUUCAUGGCUGGUCAAAAUGGGUAUGGAGAGAGAAUGAUGUUGGAUUGAUUUGAUUCUAAGUUAUGUUAGUGUUUUUAGUUAGUUUAUCAUGUCUAAAAACAAAACAACAAGAAAAGAAUUCAUUUUCCCCAUCACCCAUCAAUGGCCGAAUUUUCUAGGGAGGAUAUUGUGGCUAAAAUUAAUGAUAUUUCAUGUUUGGUGACGCUAGAAAUUAAAUGGAAAAUUUUGGUGUGAAAAUUUGAAUUUUUGCUCAAUGUAUAGACAUGUGUGAUUAUUGACCUGGGACUAAUAAAUUGAAUCUCAUUCACAGUCACUGAGGUAAUUUAGGUAUAAUUGGAGUGUAGAAAGUGAGAAGAAUUGAUUUGGAGCUAAAUUGAAGAUUUUAACCGAUUAGACCGAGUAUAGUGUGACUUAGAUCGAAUAUCACAUUUAAGCAAUUAAUCGGACAUUUUGCAUUCCAUAUCAUGCAUUAGUAGUCCAAAUUAGUUUAAUUUCAAUUUAGUACCAGUAUAGUAUGUUUCUUGAUUUGUACUAUGUCAAGGUGGUGAGUCCUCCGACAAGGGCAAGGAAAUUGUACCCGAGGAUCGAUAAUUGGAGUACUUUAAAAAUUCGACUUCCGAAAUAGUGAGUAACCUUAUCAUCAUUUUAAUUAUCUAAAGUAUGUUUUAUCCGAUUUUGUGAACUUUAUAGAAAAUGAUUUUAAAUGGUUAACUUUUGGGUUUUGUAAACAAAAUGUGUUUUAAUAAAAUGAUUUUAUAAAUCGUCUUGAAAUUGAAUGAUGACUUUGAAAAUAGAGUAACUGGAGACCACUUGCGGUGUUAUAAGUUUACGAUUUAAAUUGACGACUUAUCAUAAUGUGUUGGCAUGACUGGCUUGGUUGUGUUUUUAUGAACUGUAUGCAUUGUUCUAUUUUACACUUGCAGGCUGGAUAGUAUUAUAUUAGCCCUAUCAUGCUAUCAAAAUUUUAUUGUAUGGUGGGUUUAACUUGCUGCAGUGGGCGGAUUUCUGUGGAACAGCCUAUUAGGGGGGCACAGUAAACCCCUUUAUAUUUUACCUCGGUUAGAAAGGCAAGUAGGGUAACUCCCGAGGUAUAACUUUUAGAGUUCACUUCACGCCAAACCACCACGUAAGGGGGAACUCAGCCAACGCCAAGGAACGGCUAUGUUUUCAAAAUAAAAACAUGACUUUCUAAUAGUCUUGGCGGACUCAGUUGGGAUAGCCCUCGGCCAAGGUAUCCUAGAUAACUGAGUAUGAUAAUAAUUUUUGGCAUGAGCCAAGCUUUUUAAGAAAUUCAUAAGCCAUACUGAUUACUUGAUUUAAAUAAAUUGAUUUCAUUUGUUUGAAAUAAGUUGAAAG